Molecule: small RNA, 335 nt
Filed under: Pongo abelii (Sumatran orangutan)
Lineage: Eukaryota; Metazoa; Chordata; Mammalia; Primates; Hominidae
Description: processed transcript
Source: RNAcentral
UCGGAGCGCGGGGGCCGGCCGAGAGGAAAGCUGGAGGCGCGGGUGGGGAACAUGUCGGAGUCAGAGCUCGGCAGGAAGUGGGACCGGUGCCUGGCGGAUGCGGUCGUGAAGAUAGUAGGGACGGGGUUUCACUGUGUUAGCCAGGAUGGUCUCGAUCUCCUGACCUUGUGAUCCGCCCGCCUUGGCCUCCCAAAGUGCUGGGAUUACAGGUACUGGUUUUGGAUUAGGAAUUGUUUUCUCACUUACCUUCUUUAAAAGAAGAAUGUGGCCAUUAGCCUUUGGUUCCGGCAUGGGAUUAGGAAUGGCUUAUUCCAACUGUCAGCAUGAUUUCCAGG